Molecule: ribosomal RNA, 496 nt
Filed under: uncultured bacterium
Lineage: Bacteria
Description: partial 16S ribosomal RNA
Rfam family: Bacterial small subunit ribosomal RNA
Source: RNAcentral
GAUGAACGCUGGCGGCGUGCCUAAUACAUGCAAGUCGAGCGAACAGACGAGGAGCUUGCUCCUUUGACGUUAGCGGCGGACGGGUGAGUAACACGUAGGUAACCUACCUAUAAGACUGGGAUAACUUCGGGAAACCGGAGCUAAUACCGGAUAAUAUUUCGAACCGCAUGGUUCGAUAGUGAAAGAUGGCUUUGCUAUCACUUAUAGAUGGACCUGCGCCGUAUUAGCUAGUUGGUAAGGUAACGGCUUACCAAGGCAACGAUACGUAGCCGACCUGAGAGGGGGAUCGGCCACCUUGGAACUGGGACACGGUCCAGACUCCUACGGGAGGAAGCAGGAGGGAAUCUUCCGCAAUGGGCGAAAGCCUGACGGAGCAACGCCGCGUGAGUGAUGAAGGUCUUCGGAUCGUAAAACUCUGUUAUUAGGGAAGAACAAACGUGUAAGUAACUGUGCAGGCCUUGACGGUACCAAAGCAGAAAGCCACGGCUAAUUACGU